UUUGAUGGCGACCGGCGCACGGGUGAGUAACACGUAUCCAACCUGCCGAUGACUCGGGGAUAGCCUUUCGAAAGAAAGAUUAAUACCUGAUAGCAUAAUGAUUCCGCAUGGUUUCAUUAUUAAAGGAUUCCGGUAAAGGAUGGGGAUGCGUUCCAUUAGGUUGUUGGUGAGGUAACGGCUCACCAAGCCUUCGAUGGAUAGGGGUUCUGAGAGGAAGGUCCCCCACAUUGGAACUGAGACACGGUCCAAACUCCUACGGGAGGCAGCAUG
This 270-nucleotide ribosomal RNA is filed under the name uncultured bacterium. Its description in RNAcentral is "partial 16S ribosomal RNA". It matches the Rfam family "Bacterial small subunit ribosomal RNA", at positions 84 to 353 of the family's 1533-position model. The record is from RNAcentral.